AGCAGCCGCGGUAAUUCCAGCUCCAAUAGCGUAUAUUAAAGUUGUUGCAGUUAAAAAGCUCGUAGUUGAAUUUCGGGACUAAUAUGUCGGUCGUACUUUGUACGUACUAGCAUUAUUGGUUUCUCCCUUCUGACGAACCACGAUGUCAUUAAUUUGGUGUCAUGGGAAAUCAGGACUGUUACUUUGAAAAAAUUAGAGUGUUUAAAGCAAGCUCGCGCUUGAAUACAUUAGCAUGGAAUAAUGAAAUAGGACGUUUGAUUCUAUUUUGUUGGUUUCUAGGAUCGACGUAAUGAUUAAUAGGGAUAGUUGGGGGCAUUAGUAUUCAAUUGUCAGAGGUGAAAUUCUUGGAUUUAUUGAAGACUAACUACUGCGAAAGCAUUUGCCAAGGAUGUUUUCAUUAAUCAAGAACGAAAGUUAGGGAUCGAAGACGAUCAGAUACCGUCGUAGUCUUAACCAUAAACUAUGCCGACUAGGGAUCGGAUGAUGUUAAUUUUUAAUGUACUCAUUCGGCGCCUUACGG
RNAcentral lists this ribosomal RNA (520 nucleotides) under uncultured Glomus. RNAcentral's name for it is "SSU rRNA". It matches the Rfam family "Eukaryotic small subunit ribosomal RNA", at positions 569 to 1093 of the family's 1831-position model. The record is from RNAcentral. Lineage: Eukaryota; Fungi; Glomeromycota; Glomeromycetes; Glomerales; Glomeraceae.